This 523-nucleotide ribosomal RNA is filed under the name uncultured Glomeromycotina. RNAcentral describes it as "SSU rRNA". It matches the Rfam family "Eukaryotic small subunit ribosomal RNA", at positions 569 to 1092 of the family's 1831-position model. Lineage: Eukaryota; Fungi; Glomeromycota. The record is from RNAcentral.
AGCAGCCGCGGUAAUUCCAGCUCCAAUAGCGUAUAUUAAAGUUGUUGCAGUUAAAAAGCUCGUAGUUGAAUUUCGGGAUCAAUGUUUCGGUCAUGCCGUUGGUAUGUACUGAUAUUAUUGGUUUCUCACCUUCUAAAGAACCGUAAUGCCAUUAAUUUGGUGUCACGGGGAAUUAGGACUGUUACCUUGAAAAAAUUAGAGUGUUUAAAGCAGGCUCACGCUUGAAUACAUUAGCAUGGAAUAAUGAAAUAGGACAUCCGAUUCUAUUUUGUUGGUUCCUAGGAUCGAUGUAAUGAUUAAUAGGGAUAGUUGGGGGCAUUAGUAUUCAAUUGUCAGAGGUGAAAUUCUUGGAUUUAUUGAAGACUAACUACUGCGAAAGCAUUUGCCAAGGAUGUUUUCAUUAAUCAAGAACGAAAGUUAGGGGAUCGAAGACGAUCAGAUACCGUCGUAGUCUUAACCAUAAACUAUGCCGACUAGGGAUCGGAUGAUGUUAAUUUUUUAAUGACUCAUUCGGCGCCUUACG